This 253-nucleotide ribosomal RNA is filed under the name uncultured bacterium. Its description in RNAcentral is "partial 16S ribosomal RNA". It matches the Rfam family "Bacterial small subunit ribosomal RNA", at positions 524 to 776 of the family's 1533-position model. The record is from RNAcentral.
UACGUAGGUGGUAAGCGUUGUCCGGAAUUACUGGGCGUAAAGGGCGCGUAGGCGGCGUCGCAAGUCGGCUGUGAAAGCCCGGGGCUCAACCCCGGAGGUGCAGCCGAGACUGCGGUGCUCGAGGUCGGAAGAGGAGGGUGGAAUACCCAGUGUAGAGGUGAAAUUCGUAGAUAUUGGGUGGAACACCGGUGGCGAAAGCGGCUCUCUGGUCCGAAUCUGACGCUGAGGCGCGAAAGCGUGGGGAGCAAACAGG